UACGGGGGGGGCAAGCGUUGUUCGGAAUUACUGGGCGUAAAGGGCGCGUAGGCGGCCUUCUAAGUCGGACGUGAAAUCCCUCGGCUUAACCGAGGAACUGCGUCCGAUACUGAAAGGCUUGAAUCCGGGAGAGGGAUGUGGAAUUCCAGGUGUAGCGGUGAAAUGCGUAGAUAUCUGGAGGAACACCGGUGGCGAAGGCGGCAUCCUGGACCGGUAUUGACGCUGAGGUGCGAAAGCGUGGGGAGCAAACAGG
RNAcentral lists this ribosomal RNA (253 nucleotides) under uncultured bacterium. Its description in RNAcentral is "partial 16S ribosomal RNA". It matches the Rfam family "Bacterial small subunit ribosomal RNA", at positions 524 to 776 of the family's 1533-position model. The record is from RNAcentral.